AGUGAACGCUGGCGGCAGGCCUAAUACAUGCAAGUCGAACGGCAGCACAGCAGAGCUUGCUCUGUGGGUGGCGAGUGGCGGACGGGUGAGGAAUACAUGGGAAUCUGCCUAGUCGUGGGGGUUAACGUAGGGAAACUUACGCUAAUACCGCAUGCGCCCUUCGGGAGAAAGCCGGGGACCUUCGGGCCUGGCGCGAUUGGAUGAGCCCAUGUCGGAUUAGCUAGUUGGCGGGGUAAUGGCCCACCAAGGCGACGAUCCGUAGCUGGUCUGAGAGGAUGAUCAGCCACACUGGAACUGAGACACGGUCCAGACUCCUACGGGAGGCAGCAGUAGGGAAUAUUGGACAAUGGGCGCUAAGCCUGAUCCAGCCAUGCCGCGUGAGUGAAGAAGGCCCUCGGGUUGUAAAGCUCUUUUGUCCGGAAGAAAGCGCCGGGUUAAUACCCUAGUGUCCUGACGGUACCGGAAGAAUAAGCACCGGCUAACUUCGUGCCAGCA
Molecule: ribosomal RNA, 495 nt
Filed under: uncultured bacterium
Lineage: Bacteria
Description: bacterial SSU rRNA
Rfam family: Bacterial small subunit ribosomal RNA
Source: RNAcentral